This 760-nucleotide long non-coding RNA is filed under the name Homo sapiens (human). RNAcentral describes it as "HSALNT0157008". The record is from RNAcentral. Lineage: Eukaryota; Metazoa; Chordata; Mammalia; Primates; Hominidae.
CGCUCUGCACGCUGCCGCCGGGCCCCGAGCCGCCCCGCUUCGUGUGCUACUGCGAAGGGGAGGAAAGCGGGGAGGGGGACCGCGGCGGCUUCAACCUCUACGUGACCGACGCCGCGGAGCUUUGGAGCACCUGCUUCACGCCGGACAGCCUGGCGGCCCUCGUGGGUAACUGGGCGGGUCUGGGAGCCGCCACACCCCUCCUUGCAGUGCAGAUCGUCUAUGGGGCGACAGACAUCUGGGAUUCCCCAGAAGGCUCUGACACCCUCUGCCCGCCCUGUAGCUGUAGUCCUCCCAUUGGCUAGGGCUCUGGGGUCGGGCAGGUUUCGGGUGCCCCCAGUGGGCCUCGGGUUCCAGGCAGCUCGUGACAAGCCCCUGUGCUCUCUAGAAAGCCCGUUUUGGCCUGAGUGCGGCUGAGGACAUCACCCCCCGGUUCAGGUGAGACCCAAGCAGGGAGGAAGGACGGGUGGGGAGGAGGAGGGUCUGCCACAGCUCUCCGCACCUCUCCUCUCCCAGGGCAGCCUGUGAGCAGCAAGCUGUGGCUCUGACUCUGCAGGAGGACAGAGCAUCCCUGACGCUUUCAGGGGGGCCCUCGGCACUGGCCUUUGACCUCUCCAAGGUACCAGGCCCAGAGGCAGCCCCCAGGCUGCGGGCGCUGACACUGGGCCUGGCAAAACGCGUGUGGAGCCUGGAGCGGCGACUGGCAGCUGCAGAAGAGACAGCUGUCAGCCCGAGGAAGAGCCCCCGGCCUGCAGGGCCUCAG